AAUGAACGCUGGCGGGAUGCUUAACACAUGCAAGUCGAACGGCAGGGCGGACUUUGGGCGGGCGGCGCGUGGCGAACGGGCGAGUAAUGUAACGGAACGUGCCCAGCAGCGGGGGAUAACUACGCGAAAGCGUAGCUAAUAUUGCAGACGCCGUGCGGGGGAAACAAGGGGAUCGUUAGACCUUGCCGUCGUGGAGGGGUCGAUAGGGGACUAGCUAGUUGGUUAGGGGACGGCUCACCAAGGCGACGAUCCGUAGCUGGUUUGAGAGGGCGACCAGCCACACUGGAACUGAGACACGGCCCAGACUCCUACGGGAGGCAGCAGUGGGGAAUUUUGGACAAUGGGGGCAAACCUGAUCCAGCCAUCCCGCGUGUGCGAUGAAGGCCUUCGGGUUGUAAAGCCCUUUUGGCAGGUAAGAACCGACGCGGGCUAAUACCCCGUGGCACUGACGGUACCUGCAGAAUAAGCACCGGCUAACUACGUG
This 484-nucleotide ribosomal RNA is filed under the name uncultured bacterium. Its description in RNAcentral is "partial 16S ribosomal RNA". It matches the Rfam family "Bacterial small subunit ribosomal RNA", at positions 29 to 507 of the family's 1533-position model. The record is from RNAcentral.